GGAAUCUGCCUGGUAGUGGGGGAGACGUUUCGAAAGGAACGCUAAUACCGCAUACGUCCUACGGGAGAAAGCAGGGGACCUUCGGGCCUUGCGCUAUCAGAUGAGCCUAGGUCGGAUUAGCUAGUUGGUGAGGUAAUGGCUCACCAAGGCUACGAUCCGUAACUGGGCUGAGAGGAUGAUCAGUCACACUGGAACUGAGACACGGUCCAGACUCCUACGGGAGGCAGCAGUGGGGAAUAUUGGACAAUGGGCGAAAGCCUGAUCCAGCCAUGCCGCGUGUGUGAAGAAGGUCUUCGGAUUGUAAAGCACUUUAAGUUGGGAGGAAGGGCAGUAAGCGAAUACCUUGCUGUUUUGACGUUACCGACAGAAUAAGCACCGGCUAACUCUGUGCCAGCAGCCGCGGUAAUACAGAGGGUGCAAGCGUUAAUCGGAAUUACUGGGCGUAAAGCGCGCGUAGGUGGUUCGUUAAGUUGGAUGUGAAAUCCCCGGGCUCAACCUGGGAACUGCAUCCAAAACUGGCGAGCUAGAGUAGGGCAGAGGGUGGUGGAAUUUCCUGUGUAGCGGUGAAAUGCGUAGAUAUAGGAAGGAACACCAGUGGCGAAAGCGACCACCUGGGCUCAUACUGACACUGAGGUGCGAAAGCGUGGGGAGCAAACACGAUUAGAUACCCUGGUAGUCCACGCCGUAAACGAUGUCAACUAGCCGUUGGAAUCCUUGAGAUUUUAGUGGCGCAGCUAACGCAUUAAGUUGACCGCCUGGGGAGUACGGCCGCAAGGUUAAAACUCAAAUGAAUUGACGGGGGCCCGCACAAGCGGUGGAGCAUGUGGUUUAAUUCGAAGCAACACGAAGAACCUUACCAGGCCUUGACAUCCAAUGAACUUUCCAGAGAUGGAUUGGUGCCUUCGGGAACAUUGAGACAGGUGCUGCAUGGCUGUCGUCAGC
This 942-nucleotide ribosomal RNA is filed under the name Pseudomonas putida. RNAcentral's name for it is "bacterial SSU rRNA". It matches the Rfam family "Bacterial small subunit ribosomal RNA", at positions 121 to 1059 of the family's 1533-position model. Lineage: Bacteria; Pseudomonadati; Pseudomonadota; Gammaproteobacteria; Pseudomonadales; Pseudomonadaceae. The record is from RNAcentral.